RNAcentral lists this ribosomal RNA (740 nucleotides) under Micrococcus sp. AKB-2008-LO10. RNAcentral's name for it is "bacterial SSU rRNA". It matches the Rfam family "Bacterial small subunit ribosomal RNA", at positions 12 to 765 of the family's 1533-position model. Lineage: Bacteria; Bacillati; Actinomycetota; Actinomycetes; Micrococcales; Micrococcaceae. The record is from RNAcentral.
UUUGAUCCUGGCUCAGGAUGAACGCUGGCGGCGUGCUUAACACAUGCAAGUCGAACGAUGAAGCCCAGCUUGCUGGGUGGAUUAGUGGCGAACGGGUGAGUAACACGUGAGUAACCUGCCCUUGACUCUGGGAUAAGCCUGGGAAACUGGGUCUAAUACCGGAUAGGAACGUCCACCGCAUGGUGGUUGUUGGAAAGAUUUAUCGGUCAUGGAUGGACUCGCGGCCUAUCAGCUUGUUGGUGAGGUAAUGGCUCACCAAGGCGACGACGGGUAGCCGGCCUGAGAGGGUGACCGGCCACACUGGGACUGAGACACGGCCCAGACUCCUACGGGAGGCAGCAGUGGGGAAUAUUGCACAAUGGGCGAAAGCCUGAUGCAGCGACGCCGCGUGAGGGAUGACGGCCUUCGGGUUGUAAACCUCUUUCAGUAGGGAAGAAGCGAAAGUGACGGUACCUGCAGAAGAAGCACCGGCUAACUACGUGCCAGCAGCCGCGGUAAUACGUAGGGUGCGAGCGUUAUCCGGAAUUAUUGGGCGUAAAGAGCUCGUAGGCGGUUUGUCGCGUCUGUCGUGAAAGUCCGGGGCUUAACCCCGGAUCUGCGGUGGGUACGGGCAGACUAGAGUGCAGUAGGGGAGACUGGAAUUCCUGGUGUAGCGGUGGAAUGCGCAGAUAUCAGGAGGAACACCGAUGGCGAAGGCAGGUCUCUGGGCUGUAACUGACGCUGAGGAGCGAAAGCAUGGG